This 154-nucleotide ribosomal RNA is filed under the name uncultured bacterium. RNAcentral's name for it is "partial 16S ribosomal RNA". It matches the Rfam family "Bacterial small subunit ribosomal RNA", at positions 355 to 525 of the family's 1533-position model. The record is from RNAcentral.
UAACGAAUAUUCCGCAAUGCGCGAAAGCGUGACGGAGCAAUGCCGCGUGUGGGAUGAAGCAUCUAGGUGUGUAAACCACUGUCAGGGAACAGGAACACAAUGACCGUUCCCAAAGGAAGGGCCGGCUAACUUCGUGCCAGCAGCCGCGGUAAAA